Molecule: ribosomal RNA, 274 nt
Filed under: uncultured bacterium
Lineage: Bacteria
Description: partial 16S ribosomal RNA
Rfam family: Bacterial small subunit ribosomal RNA
Source: RNAcentral
AUACGGAGGGUGCAAGCGUUAAUCGGAAUUACUGGGCGUAAAGCGUACGUAGGCGGUUCGUUAAGAUAGAUGUGAAAGCCCCGGGCUUAACCUGGGAACUGCAUUUAAAACUGGCGAACUAGAGUUGAGUAGAGGGGAGUGGAAUUUCAGGUGUAGCGGUGAAAUGCGUAGAGAUCUGAAGGAACACCAGUGGCGAAGGCGGCUCCCUGGACUCAAACUGACGCUGAGGUACGAAAGCGUGGGUAGCAAACGGGAUUAGAUACCCUAGUAGUCC